RNAcentral lists this unclassified non-coding RNA (674 nucleotides) under Hevea brasiliensis (rubber tree). The record is from RNAcentral. Lineage: Eukaryota; Viridiplantae; Streptophyta; Magnoliopsida; Malpighiales; Euphorbiaceae.
UAAUAGAAUUCUUAAACUUCCUAAUACUAAAAAUCUAAAUUAAAACUCUUAAUUUUAUAAUUAAAAAAUAAAUGAAAAUGAUUCCUAAAUUGAAUCUUCCUUGACUGCAUUAAUAAGCUACUGUUGAUUGAAUUGAGAUCCAACGAUCAUCAGCAACUAAGUCUAAAUCCAUUUUGAACCUCUAAUUGCAUUUCGGAACUUUGCCCUACAUAAUCCAACAGGGCAGCGUAAUUAUCAUGGACUUGGCAGGUAACAUUGACAUGGUGUUAAUUUUCCACACGCACAACAAGGGAAUCAUAGUACACAAGUAGAACUUAAUUAUGACAAUCUGAGCAGCUAUGGUCUAAAUAGGUUGAAAAAGACAAUACUAGAAACAUGGUAUUAAUUUAAUGGUGAUAACAUGGAACUAUAGGCAUAGGUAGAGCCAGAAAAUUUUUUUUGAAGAGGCCAAUGUUAUAUAUAAAAUUGAUUCAAAAAAUUGUUAACUACCCUCAUUUCCUAUAUAUUGAGGGGUCAAUGUUGUAUACUCAAAAAAAUACCAUAAUAGAGGUUAGGCUAGAAUAUUUUACAUUAUGCAUAUCAUGAGAAACAGUACAAUUUUUUUUUUUUGGAAGCUCCAACGGCUAAAAUAAAAUAAUUUUUUUUCCUAAAGUAUAUAUAUAUAUACACACACA